AACGAACGCUGGCGGCAGGCCUAACACAUGCAAGUCGAGCGAGCAUUUCGGUGCUAGCGGCGGACGGGUGAGUAACGCGUGGGAACGUGCCCUUUUCUGCGGAAUAGUCCUGGGAAACUGGGGGUAAUACCGCAUACGCCCUUUUGGGGAAAGAUUGAUCGGAGAAGGAUCGGCCCGCGUUGGAUUAGGUAGUUGGUGGGGUAAUGGCCCACCAAGCCGACGAUCCAUAGCUGGUUUGAGAGGAUGAUCAGCCACACUGGGACUGAGACACGGCCCAGACUCCUACGGGAGGCAGCAGUGGGGAAUCUUAGACAAUGGGGGCAACCCUGAUCUAGCCAUGCCGCGUGAGUGAUGAAGGCCUUAGGGUUGUAAAGCUCUUUAAGCUGGGAAGAUAAUGACGGUACCAGCAGAAGAAGCCCCGGCUAACUCCGUG
This 433-nucleotide ribosomal RNA is filed under the name uncultured bacterium. RNAcentral's name for it is "partial 16S ribosomal RNA". It matches the Rfam family "Bacterial small subunit ribosomal RNA", at positions 29 to 507 of the family's 1533-position model. The record is from RNAcentral.